Non-coding RNA from Vicugna pacos (alpaca), 73 nucleotides. Lineage: Eukaryota; Metazoa; Chordata; Mammalia; Artiodactyla; Camelidae. The record is from the annotation of a RefSeq genome assembly.
GGAGUGUAUAGCUCAGCGGUAGAGUGCAUGCUUGGCAUGCAUGAGGUCCUGGGUUCAAUCCCCAGUACCUCCA